GAUGAACGCUGGCGGCGUGCCUAAUACAUGCAAGUCGAGCGAACAGAUAAGGAGCUUGCUCCUUUGACGUUAGCGGCGGACGGGUGAGUAACACGUGGAUAACCUACCUAUAAGACUGGGAUAACUUCGGGAAACCGGAGCUAAUACCGGAUAACAUAUUGAACCGCAUGGUUCAAUAGUGAAAGGCGGCUUUGCUGUCACUUAUAGAUGGAUCCGCGCCGUAUUAGCUAGUUGGUAAGGUAACGGCUUACCAAGGCAACGAUACGUAGCCGACCUGAGAGGGUGAUCGGCCACACUGGAACUGAGACACGGUCCAGACUCCUACGGGAGGCAGCAGUAGGGAAUCUUCCGCAAUGGGCGAAAGCCUGACGGAGCAACGCCGCGUGAGUGAUGAUGGUCUUCGGAUCGUAAAACUCUGUUAUCAGGGAAGAACAAAUGUGUAAGUAACUGUGCACAUCUUGACGGUACCUGAUCAGAAAGCCACGGCUAACUACGUG
This 497-nucleotide ribosomal RNA is filed under the name uncultured bacterium. RNAcentral describes it as "partial 16S ribosomal RNA". It matches the Rfam family "Bacterial small subunit ribosomal RNA", at positions 28 to 507 of the family's 1533-position model. The record is from RNAcentral.